UGGUUACAGAGGUGCCGUCUGC
RNAcentral lists this unclassified non-coding RNA (22 nucleotides) under Mus musculus (house mouse). RNAcentral's name for it is "oocyte_clustered_small_RNA3114". The record is from RNAcentral. Lineage: Eukaryota; Metazoa; Chordata; Mammalia; Rodentia; Muridae.